This is a non-coding RNA of Paramuricea clavata, 1113 nucleotides long. The record is from the annotation of a GenBank genome assembly. NCBI's taxonomy places the organism in Eukaryota, Metazoa, Cnidaria, Anthozoa, Malacalcyonacea, Plexauridae.
GGCCAUUUAGCUAUUGUUGUAACUGGCUGACAGUAAGUUUAAAGGCUAAAGCACAAACUAACCCAGUGUUUUAUACUUUGAUGUGUAUUUUGUUCUUCACCUUGCAUUUGACCUAUAAAGGCUAUUGCCCUUGAUUGCCAAAAUCUACCAUGUUUACACUAAGGAGUGGGGUAGACUCUGGACUUACCUGUGGCCACAUAUAAUGCAUUUGACACCUAGUUACAGGACAGUGUCUAAAAAACUGGACAAUUGGGCUGAUUUCAGAUGCAUGUUAAUAAUCAACGAUAUUUGAAAAAUAUGUGGCAAACAUCAUCUGAUGGUCUCACUGAAAAUAUGUGUCAACAGUAAAUAUACACACAUUACAUGAUUUACCCUGUUGUCAUGGAAAUUGGUCUCGGGAUUAAACAAUCCAAACAUGUAUAUACUACAGGGUUAGCCACCCCAAAUUCUUCACCUGAAACCAUUUCAGGUCACUCAGGGUAGGUCCCAGUAAAGUGCUUGGACAACAAGAAGACCUAUCCCAGUUGUUUCUGUGCUUGUUCCUAAAUCCUGUAUAUGGUCAUUGCUUCAGCCAAGUUAGAACGGGCAUAUGUUUUACACAACUUGACUGAAUGAGAUAUACCUCAUCAACAUGCUAUGCAAACAACAACCCCUGUAACAUUUAAAGUCUUGAGAAUUUUAUUUAUUUUGCUCAUAACAUAAAGUACUAGUAUUUACAUUCAACGGAAUCUAGCUAGAACUAGCAAUAUUUAUGCAAAUUUAAUACUCUUGUGGGUUUUUAUUUAUAGACCCAUGCACUCACCCACAGCUGAACUUCUCAACAAGCUAGGUACAUUGGCACAAAUUAACAGCUUAGCCCAUUAAGUUCCACUGCACCCUACUGGGGCUAUGGUGGCGUGCUGAUUGUGCCACCGACUUUGGUAGUGCAAUUGUCAGAGCGAGGACUUUUUACAUCUGAGAUUGUUGGUUCAAUUCUCACCACUUCAACGACACUUAAAUGUGAAAAGAGUCAUGCUGUCAACACUCUGACAAAAGUUGUGGGUUUUCUCCGGGAACUCCAGUUUUCUAUAGAGGGAAUGUUGAUGGGUGGCUUGGGAUUAGCCUCUAACUCAC